ACCUGAGUGGCUCAGUCGGUUGAGCAUCUGACCUUGGCUCAGGCUGAUCUCACAGUUUGUGAGUUCAAGUCCCACAUCGGGCU
This 83-nucleotide transfer RNA is filed under the name Felis catus (domestic cat). It matches the Rfam family "tRNA". From Rfam's summary of the family: Transfer RNA (tRNA) molecules are approximately 80 nucleotides in length. Their secondary structure includes four short double-helical elements and three loops (D, anti-codon, and T loops). RNAcentral also lists the same sequence under 2 other names. The record is from Rfam by way of RNAcentral. Lineage: Eukaryota; Metazoa; Chordata; Mammalia; Carnivora; Felidae.